GACGAACGCUGGCGGCGGGCUUAACACAUGCAAGUCGAACGGAAAGGCCCUGCUUGUGUGGUGUGCUCGAGGGGCGAACGGGUGAGUAACACGUGAGUAACCUGCCCUUGACUUUGGGAUAACUUCAGGUAACUGGGGCUAAUACCGGAUAGGAGCUCCUGCUGCAUGGAGGGGGUUGGAAAGUUUCGGCGGUGGUGGAUGGACUCGCGGCUUAUCAGCUAGUUGGUGGGGUAGUGGCUUACCAAGGCAUUGAAGGGUAGCCCGCCUGAGAGGGUGACCGGGCACCUUGGGACUGAGAGACGGCCCAGACUCCAACGGGAGGCAGCAGUGGCGAAUCUUGCCCAAUGGGCGGAAGCCUGAUGCAGCAACGCCGCGUGCGGAAUGACGUCCUUCGGGUUAUGAACCGCUUUCGCCUGUGACGAAGCGUGAGUGACGGUAAUGGGUAAAGAAGCACCGGCUAACUACGUG
Molecule: ribosomal RNA, 468 nt
Filed under: uncultured bacterium
Lineage: Bacteria
Description: partial 16S ribosomal RNA
Rfam family: Bacterial small subunit ribosomal RNA
Source: RNAcentral